RNAcentral lists this ribosomal RNA (534 nucleotides) under Bacillus anthracis (anthrax bacterium). RNAcentral's name for it is "bacterial SSU rRNA". It matches the Rfam family "Bacterial small subunit ribosomal RNA", at positions 7 to 521 of the family's 1533-position model. The record is from RNAcentral. Lineage: Bacteria; Bacillati; Bacillota; Bacilli; Caryophanales; Bacillaceae.
GAGAGUUUGAUCCUGGCUCAGGAUGAACGCUGGCGGCGUGCCUAAUACAUGCAAGUCGAGCGAAUGGAUUAAGAGCUUGCUCUUAUGAAGUUAGCGGCGGACGGGUGAGUAACACGUGGGUAACCUGCCCAUAAGACUGGGAUAACUCCGGGAAACCGGGGCUAAUACCGGAUAACAUUUUGAACCGCAUGGUUCGAAAUUGAAAGGUGGCUUCGGCUGCCACUUAUGGAUGGACCCGCGUCGCAUUAGCUAGUUGGUGAGGUAACGGCUCACCAAGGCAAUGAUGCGUAGCCGACCUGAGAGGGUGAUCGGCCACACUGGGACUGAGACACGGCCCAGACUCCUACGGGAGGCAGCAGUAGGGAAUCUUCCGCAAUGGACGAAAGUCUGACGGAGCAACGCCGCGUGAGUGAUGAAGGCUUUCGGGUCGUAAAACUCUGUUGUUAGGGAAGAACAAGUGCUAGUUGAAUAAGCUGGCACCUUGACGGUACCUAACCAGAAAGCCACGGCUAACUACGUGCCAGCAGCCGCGGU